CAGAGAGGGAUGCUAUGUUAGCUAGCUGGCUAUCCAACACUGGAACUCUUCCAAGUCAAGGUGAGACGGCCCACUGUCCGGAACCAGGUGAGUCUGCCUGCGACCCGGAACCGGGUGAGUUUGCCUGUGAUCCGGAACCGAGUGAGUCUGCCUGUGAUCCGGAACAGAAUGAGGGUGAAAUUAACUGUGAACUGUGUGAGUCUGUCUACAGCUUGGAACCGAAUGAGUCUGCCUACGACCCGGAACUGAGUGAGUCUGCCUACAGCCCGGAGCUAAGAGACUCUGUCUAUAGUCUGGAGGAUAGUAGGCCAGAACCAGAGCCACCUCCAGUAUAGGUGGGUUGGGGAGGGGGGUGUUGCACCUGCCACCCUCCCUUCCCUCCCUUUAGUUUAGGGGGAAUUUUGUUUUGUUGGUUG
RNAcentral lists this long non-coding RNA (416 nucleotides) under Salmo salar (Atlantic salmon). RNAcentral's name for it is "lncRNA (ENSSSAG00000102290.1)". The record is from RNAcentral. Lineage: Eukaryota; Metazoa; Chordata; Actinopteri; Salmoniformes; Salmonidae.